RNAcentral lists this ribosomal RNA (1371 nucleotides) under uncultured bacterium. RNAcentral describes it as "bacterial SSU rRNA". It matches the Rfam family "Bacterial small subunit ribosomal RNA", at positions 28 to 1381 of the family's 1533-position model. The record is from RNAcentral.
GAUAAACGCUGGCGGCGUGCCUAAUACAUGCAAGUCGAGCGAACGGACGAGAAGCUUGCUUCUCUGAUGUUAGCGGCGGACGGGUGAGUAACACGUGGAUAACCUACCUAUAAGACUGGGAUAACUUCGGGAAACCGGAGCUAAUACCGGAUAAUAUUUUGAACCGCAUGGUUCAAAAGUGAAAGACGGUCUUGCUGUCACUUAUAGAUGGAUCCGCGCUGCAUUAGCUAGUUGGUAAGGUAACGGCUUACCAAGGCAACGAUGCAUAGCCGACCUGAGAGGGUGAUCGGCCACACUGGAACUGAGACACGGUCCAGACUCCUACGGGAGGCAGCAGUAGGGAAUCUUCCGCAAUGGGCGAAAGCCUGACGGAGCAACGCCGCGUGAGUGAUGAAGGUCUUCGGAUCGUAAAACUCUGUUAUUAGGGAAGAACAUAUGUGUAAGUAACUGUGCACAUCUUGACGGUACCUAAUCAGAAAGCCACGGCUAACUACGUGCCAGCAGCCGCGGUAAUACGUAGGUGGCAAGCGUUAUCCGGAAUUAUUGGGCGUAAAGCGCGCGUAGGCGGUUUUUUAGUCUGAUGUGAAAGCCCACGGCUCAACCGUGGAGGGUCAUUGGAAACUGGAAAACUUGAGUGCAGAAGAGGAAAGUGGAAUUCCAUGUGUAGCGGUGAAAUGCGCAGAGAUAUGGAGGAACACCAGUGGCGAAGGCGACUUUCUGGUCUGUAACUGGCGCUGAUGUGCGAAAGCGUGGGGAUCAAACAGGAUUAGAUACCCUGGUAGUCCACGCCGUAAACGAUGAGUGCUAAGUGUUAGGGGGUUUCCGCCCCUUAGUGCUGCAGCUAACGCAUUAAGCACUCCGCCUGGGGAGUACGACCGCAAGGUUGAAACUCAAAGGAAUUGACGGGGACCCGCACAAGCGGUGGAGCAUGUGGUUUAAUUCGAAGCAACGCGAAGAACCUUACCAAAUCUUGACAUCCUUUGACAACUCUAGAGAUAGAGCCUUCCCCUUCGGGGGACAAAGUGACAGGUGGUGCAUGGUUGUCGUCAGCUCGUGUCGUGAGAUGUUGGGUUAAGUCCCGCAACGAGCGCAACCCUUAAGCUUAGUUGCCAUCAUUAAGUUGGGCACUCUAGGUUGACUGCCGGUGACAAACCGGAGGAAGGUGGGGAUGACGUCAAAUCAUCAUGCCCCUUAUGAUUUGGGCUACACACGUGCUACAAUGGACAAUACAAAGGGCAGCGAAACCGCGAGGUCAAGCAAAUCCCAUAAAGUUGUUCUCAGUUCGGAUUGUAGUCUGCAACUCGACUACAUGAAGCUGGAAUCGCUAGUAAUCGUAGAUCAGCAUGCUACGGUGAAUACGUUCCCGGGUCU